AGAAUCAACGCUGGCGGCGUGCCUAACACAUGCAAGUCGAACGAGAAAGUGGAGCAAUCCAUGAGUAAAGUGGCGACCGGGUGAGUAACACGUGACCAAUCUACCCUUGAGUGGGGGAUAACCUCGGGAAACCGGGGCUAAUACCGCAUAAUAUCUUCGGAACGGAAGUACUGAAGAUCAAAGGAGCAAUUCGCUUGAGGAGGAGGUCGCGGCUGAUUAGCUAGUUGGCGGGGUAAUGGCCCACCAAGGCAAAGAUCGGUA
RNAcentral lists this ribosomal RNA (261 nucleotides) under uncultured bacterium. RNAcentral's name for it is "partial small subunit ribosomal RNA". It matches the Rfam family "Bacterial small subunit ribosomal RNA", at positions 26 to 285 of the family's 1533-position model. The record is from RNAcentral.